RNAcentral lists this ribosomal RNA (455 nucleotides) under Aspergillus flavus. Its description in RNAcentral is "eukaryotic LSU rRNA". The stretch from base 131 to 284 matches the Rfam family "5.8S ribosomal RNA". Lineage: Eukaryota; Fungi; Ascomycota; Eurotiomycetes; Eurotiales; Aspergillaceae. The record is from RNAcentral.
UUAGUUGCUUCGGCGGGCCCGCCAUUCGUGGCCGCCGGGGGCUCUCAGCCCCGGGCCCGCGCCCGCCGGAGACACCACGAACUCUGUCUGAUCUAGUGAAGUCUGAGUUGAUUGUAUCGCAAUCAGUUAAAACUUUCAACAAUGGAUCUCUUGGUUCCGGCAUCGAUGAAGAACGCAGCGAAAUGCGAUAACUAGUGUGAAUUGCAGAAUUCCGUGAAUCAUCGAGUCUUUGAACACACAUUGCGCCCCCUGGUAUUCCGGGGGGCAUGCCUGUCCGAGCGUCAUUGCUGCCCAUCAAGCACGGCUUGUGUGUUGGGUCGUCGUCCCCUCUCCGGGGGGGACGGGCCCCAAAGGCAGCGGCGGCACCGCGUCCGAUCCUCGAGCGUAUGGGGCUUUGUCACCCGCUCUGUAGGCCCGGCCGGCGCUUGCCGAACGCAAAUCAAUCUUUUCCAGGU